RNAcentral lists this ribosomal RNA (253 nucleotides) under uncultured bacterium. RNAcentral's name for it is "partial 16S ribosomal RNA". It matches the Rfam family "Bacterial small subunit ribosomal RNA", at positions 1066 to 1320 of the family's 1533-position model. The record is from RNAcentral.
CGUGAGAUGUUGGGUUAAGUCCCGCAACGAGCGCAACCCUCAUCGCAUGUUGCCAGCGUAAAGUCGGGCACUCUUGCGAAACUGCCCGUGUAAGCGGGAGGAAGGUGGGGAUGACGUCAAGUCGGCAUGGCCCUUACGCCUGGGGCUACACACAUGCUACAAUGGCCGGUUACAAAGAGCAGCAAGACCGCGAGGUGGAGCAAAUCUCAAAAACCCGGUCUCAGUUCGGAUUGCAGUCUGCAACUCGACUGCA